RNAcentral lists this transfer-messenger RNA (329 nucleotides) under Azoarcus sp. It matches the Rfam family "Betaproteobacteria transfer-messenger RNA". From Rfam's summary of the family: Bacterial tmRNA, also known as 10Sa RNA or SsrA, is named for its dual tRNA and mRNA-like properties. Its role is to liberate the mRNA from a stalled ribosome. To accomplish this part of the tmRNA is used as a reading frame that ends in a translation stop signal. Lineage: Bacteria; Pseudomonadati; Pseudomonadota; Betaproteobacteria; Rhodocyclales; Zoogloeaceae. The record is from RNAcentral.
GCACGAUGCGGCGGUUGAAAAGACACCGCCGCUCCCUCACAAUGCGCAGCAUGGUUGUAACUCCGGCGAGUCGGAGACGUUCUGGACAGGGGUUCGAUUCCCCUCACCUCCACCAAAGUGCAUCCGGUGGGUGUGGUUUGGUGGGGGUGUCCUGGUUUCGACAGGGCGAGCAAUGGCGAGCAGGCAACCCGAGAGGCGACGGACGUAAUCCGCGCAAAUCCAUAAACGCCAACGAUGAGCGUUUCGCGAUCGCUGCCUAAGCAGAUCGCCGGGGCCGCUGAAGCCUUGUAACCCAAGACAGCCGAUGGGGACUUCGGUCCCCAUCGUCA